GAUGAACGCUGGCGGCGUGCCUAAUACAUGCAAGUCGAGCGAACGGACGAGAAGCUUGCUUCUCUGAUGUUAGCGGCGGACGGGUGAGUAACACGUGGAUAACCUACCUAUAAGACUGGGAUAACUUCGGGAAACCGGAGCUAAUACCGGAUAAUAUUUUGAACCGCAUGGUUCAAAAUUGAAAGACGGUCUUGCUGUCACUUAUAGAUGGAUCCGCGCUGCAUUAGCUAGUUGGUAAGGUAACGGCUUACCAAGGCAACGAUGCAUAGCCGACCUGAGAGGGUGAUCGGCCACACUGGAACUGAGACACGGUCCAGACUCCUACGGGAGGCAGCAGUAGGGAAUCUUCCGCAAUGGGCGAAAGCCUGACGGAGCAACGCCGCGUGAGUGAUGAAGGUCUUCGGAUCGUAAAACUCUGUUAUUAGGGAAGAACAUAUGUGUAAGUAACUGUGCACAUCUUGACGGUACCUAAUCAGAAAGCCACGGCUAACUACGUA
This 497-nucleotide ribosomal RNA is filed under the name uncultured bacterium. Its description in RNAcentral is "partial 16S ribosomal RNA". It matches the Rfam family "Bacterial small subunit ribosomal RNA", at positions 28 to 507 of the family's 1533-position model. The record is from RNAcentral.